AGUCCCGUGGGGUAGUGGCCAAUCCUGCGAGCUUCUGGGGCUCGCGACGGAAGUUCGAAUCUUCCCGGGACUA
This 73-nucleotide transfer RNA is filed under the name Salinarchaeum sp. IM2453. RNAcentral describes it as "tRNA-Gln". It matches the Rfam family "tRNA". From Rfam's summary of the family: Transfer RNA (tRNA) molecules are approximately 80 nucleotides in length. Their secondary structure includes four short double-helical elements and three loops (D, anti-codon, and T loops). The record is from RNAcentral. Lineage: Archaea; Methanobacteriati; Methanobacteriota; Halobacteria; Halobacteriales; Natronoarchaeaceae.